UGACCGCUGGCGGCGUGCCUACUACAUGCAAGUCGAGCGAACGGACGAGAAGCUUGCUUCUCUGAUGUUAGUGGCGGACGGGUGAGUAACACGUGGAUAACCUACCUAUAAGACUGGGAUAACUUCGGGAAACCGGAGCUAAUACCGGAUAAUAUUUUGAACCGCAUGGUUCAAAAGUGAAAGACGGUCUUGCUGUCACUUAUAGAUGGAUCCGCGCUGCAUUAGCUAGUUGGUAAGGUAACGGCUUACCAAGGCAACGAUGCAUAGCCGACCUGAGAGGGUGAUCGGCCACACUGGAACUGAGACACGGUCCAGACUCCUACGGGAGGCAGCAGUAGGGAAUCUUCCGCAAUGGGCGAAAGCCUGACGGAGCAACGCCGCGCGAGUGAUGAAGGUCUUCGGAUCGUAAAACUCUGUUAUUAGGGAAGAACAUAUGUGUAAGUAACUGUGCACAUCUUGACGGUACCUAAUCAGAAAGCCACGGCUAACUACGUG
Molecule: ribosomal RNA, 495 nt
Filed under: uncultured bacterium
Lineage: Bacteria
Description: partial 16S ribosomal RNA
Rfam family: Bacterial small subunit ribosomal RNA
Source: RNAcentral